RNAcentral lists this long non-coding RNA (255 nucleotides) under Ananas comosus (pineapple). RNAcentral's name for it is "long non-coding RNA (ACOM_LNC007145)". Lineage: Eukaryota; Viridiplantae; Streptophyta; Magnoliopsida; Poales; Bromeliaceae. The record is from RNAcentral.
UGACACUCAGCUUCGAAUGGGGAUUAUCUUUCCUAGAACUACUCUAACAUAGCACGCUUAAUCUUAUUAACCUCUUGGACUUAAACUACCAACCAAAAUAUUAUAACAAGAUUCAGAAGUUUAGCCCUAUUAUACUUUAUAUAUAGAACUAUUUCAAAUCCUGAAAGUGUCACAUGCUAAAACUUUUACUGACAUCUGUGAACAUUUUGCUUCGGAACAUGCGCUUAUGCAGAAACACAAAAACAAAUAAACUAC